AUUUCUCUAAAAAUGAUGCUUGCUGUAUUAUAAAUUCGUUAUAAAGAUAGUUGACAAGUUAUAUGGCCGUACAUAAACGGCUAUUUGCAAUAUAACCCUAGCCUAACGGCUCGGGUUAUAUUUACAAAUAGCCGUUUAUAUAGGGCCACAUAACCUGUCAACGAUCUUUAUAACUAAUAAUAUAACUGGUAUUUGAAUGUAAUAUAAAUCUUUACUUCUUCCCUGACCUUGUACAUUAAACAUCCCGGGUGUAGAUUUUCCGAGGUUUAUGAAAAAAACCAUGGAAACUUCUUCAAAAACCUUGGACAUAAACCAGUUUUACAAGGUUUUUAUUAAAUUCCAAGGUUUUGUUUAAAAUCUUGGAAACUUUAUCCAAGGUUUUUGGUAUAAAAUCCUUGGAAAUAAAGAAAACCUUGGAAACUAUCUCGGAAUUUAAACACUCUGCCAGAAAUCAGCUUGGAAAAAGCUUGGAAAUGAAGAACUUUGUCAUUUUUUUGCUCGGAAAAGAACUUAGAAAAUUUACGUAAAUUUGUUGGAAAAAUAAAUGCUUGGAAAUGACCUCGGAAAUUUGUACUUUACUAUAUUUCAUCUCGGAAAAUGUUAAGCCAUAAUGAUAAUCAUGAUUUAACUUAAAAUGGGCAUCGAAAGCAAUGAUCAACAGUUAAAGCUGGCAGAUUUACUAAAACCAAGCUACCAACCCGGCUGUAGAUUGCCCAUGGAUAUUUAUUUAAUCCAUGGUCAGAGCAAACAGUUGUCCAUGGUUAGUCCAUGCAAGACAGCAUGGUCCAGGGAAAUCAAUUUUCAGUAUGGACAAUUUGUUGAUGGCCAACUUCAUGGCCAACAAUAAAUUUGUCCUUUAAAUUUCUGAAGCGAUUUAUUUGGAAGGAAUCAAUUAAAAAAAUUUAAGUGUGAAAACAUGGAAAAGUUAAAUAAAUUCCUUGUUGCCAUAAAAUACAUUUAUUAAUGGCUAUAAAUGUAUCGCAUCUAAUCAUAAUAAAAGAAAGAUUAUUCAAAUAAAAACUGAUGAUCAGAAAGACUUUAAAAAAAAUAUUUUCAUUUUUUUUUAUUAUUAUUUAUAAUUAUCAUUACUAGAUAUCUUCUUCAUUAAAAGAGCAAAACUAUAAAACAAAAAGAAACAGUCUAUUAGUUUCCAAAUGCAUCAGUAUUUUUCCUACAGUUUCUUUCUAUAUAUAGACUUAACUUAGGGUUUCUUGAAAGCCUGUAAGCAACACUGAAAUAAGAAUGCUCUAUAACCUUUAAUAUAUGUUUUAUGCUAUUCUACAAAAAAGUCUGUGACAUACAUUCAGAUUACAAUUUACUCUGCCAUUAAUUUAAGUGUACAAUAAACAGUGACUGUCAUAGUUAUUAAUUGUCCUUUUAAUAUAAUUAUAUUCAAUUGAAUGUCUGAAAUAUAAUAACCAGUAUGCUUGAUAAUUUCUUAUAAUUAGGAUAAAUAAAUACUGCAUCCACUAAGAUUUCACACACAGAAUAAAACACACUGAUCAGAUAAAACUAAUGGCACCCCAGGUGGUUUCCUCUAUCUAUGCAUGAUCAAUCUUCUCAUUGGGCAUUCUGGGAUAGACCAGAUUGUUACAUGUGAUUAUUCAGGGGGAGUCUGGGUUUUUAUACAUUCCAAAAUCAAUCAGUCUAAAAUGACAUUGCAACUGUGAUUCUCUUUUAAGAACUCAUUAAAAUUUUCAACUUUUACAUUUAUUUAUCAUUUGAUAUAUUUGUACCUUCAAUAAAUGUAAAAUUAAAUGAUGGUGGCUUUGAUAUUUUGGGAUCACCCCUGUUUCACAUUAUGAUGGACCUAUCCUGAAUAAACUGUUGAAAAAUUUGAAUCUCAGACAUUAAUGGGUCAAGUGGUUAUAGUUGGAAAUAGUGGAAACAUGGAUUUAUUUAAGCAAUUUUGGAGAUAUCUUGUUUUAAAUGUUAGGGAGCCUAUUUUGGAAUUUUCAAAGAAAACAUUUAUCAAAGUGUGACAAGAUUUAGGAAAUGUUUGGUUGUUGUAAUUGAACCUUAAAAGAUGAAUGACCUGAGACAGGAAGAUAAACAAAAGAAACAUAAUAGUAAAAAGGUUCAGGUAAAUAACUUUUAGAUACAUUUAUGCAGAAAAACUGUGUUUUUUCUUCAAAUAAGUAUUAAAUACAAACUAUUUUAGAUCUAUAUUUUUAACCUUUGUAAGCUAGUUUAAAUACAAUUGUUUAAUGGAUAUUUUAUGAGUAUAAAUGUUAUGUUUGUCUAUGAUUGUAUUGCACAAGAUAAGUGCAUAAAACUAUGAUGACAUAAUUCAUAAACUUUCAUAUAACAGAGUCAGCUUGAAAGCAAGUUUGCAGGUGUUCCAAACUACAAGAAAAUGGCAAUCCAGCUUUGCCGUCUUUUAUCAUAGUAUAAAGCAGAGGAAUAUACUGGAAAGUCAUUGGCAUUGGUGCAAAGGAAGCCAACUGUAGACCAGGAAAGGCUUCAAGGAAUAUACUACAGAAUUGUAUCCAAGCAUUUUCCACAUGUGACCCCUGUGACGGUGAGGGAAAAUUUGGGGACACUUUAAAAUCAUGAAGAGUGAACAGGACUUCAAUAGAUUAAUAUUUGAAUAUAUAUAAAUUUGCCGGGUACCAAAAAAAUUAUAACUGAACAUUGAGUGUAAUAUUUACCAUUAAAGACUUCUAACUUAAUUUUUCAUUUGUAGUGCAUUACUAUUUACUUCACACUGACAUUAAAUGUUUCAGUGAGUCAUGUGAUCAUUUUUUGCUCUGUAUUAUUAUAAAGAAGUUUAUUAAUUCUUUAAAAGGACAAUAUAAUUGCUCUUUUCAGAAUAUUUCAUUGGUUGUUAUAUUUUCUGAUUUUCCAUGGAUAUUCUAGAAAUUUCCAAGGUUUUUGCUCAAGUAAACCUUGGAAAAUGAUCUUGAUGCUUUAGUAAGAAUCCUCGGGAAAUAAUUACAGUAUUCCCAGUUUUGAGAAACUUUCCGAGGUUUUCAUUUGAAAACCUUGGAAAACAAACCACGGAAACACUUUAAAAAUCCUUGGAAAUCGUUCCUAUACUCUUAGGUCACCAAUUUUACAAGGUUUUUUAAAAAAAUCCUCGGAAAUUAUUUUACGAGGUAUUUAUUCUGAAAUCCUUGGAAAUCGUUCCAAUACUCCGAGGUCAUACUUUUUACGAGGUUUUUUUUAUUAAAAAAACCUCGGAAAUUUUUUACAAGGUGUUAUACCGUCUCCCUAUUUUUCCAAGGUUUUCUUAAAAGCAAAGUUUUGCAUAAAUUUCUCGUUCCAAUACUCCGAGGUUUUUUUCCAAGGAUUUUGAGCCAAAAACCUUGGAAAAUCUACACCCGGGAUCUGUGGUAUGAUAUUUCCAUUUAAUUUAUUUAUUCAUUAAUUUAUUUACUUGUUAAUUUAUACAUUAUAUUUAUUUAUAUAUUUAUAAUUAGAACAUUACUUUUUAAAAUCAGUUUUAUUUUCACAAAUUAUUCCUGAUCUUUAGAAAAGAACAUUUACCUUCAUUAAGGUUAAUAUAUCUAUUCUCGUAAAUUCACUGCCUUUCUUUCAUUUAUUAAUUAAUAAACACAAUUUGAAUAUAAAUUUCUGCAAUUUCAAUAUUAUUAAUGUUUUGUAACAAUGACCAGAUAUCAAUAUUCAAUAAAAAAUGAUUUCUGAUGAUUGUAAUCAUAAUGCAUUAUAUUCAUCCUCAAACUUUACAACAAUAUAUAUAUAUAUAUAUCAAUAACUAAAAUGUCAUAGGUUUCACUUUUUUGAUGAAAAUAAAAAAACCAAUUUAUUGUGACUUUUAACAUAAAAUAAUUCAGUUCAAACACUAUGUAAACUGCAUGUAUUUUAUCUCACUAUGUUAAAAAUUCAAACCAUUUUCUUUUGUUGAAAAGGUAAA
Molecule: long non-coding RNA, 3877 nt
Organism: Ruditapes philippinarum (Manila clam)
Lineage: Eukaryota; Metazoa; Mollusca; Bivalvia; Venerida; Veneridae
Exons: 2
Source: RefSeq, a predicted model, not a curated record